This 108-nucleotide non-coding RNA is filed under the name Virgibacillus sp. RNAcentral describes it as "TPP sequence". It matches the Rfam family "TPP riboswitch aptamer (THI element)". Rfam says of the family: Vitamin B(1) in its active form thiamin pyrophosphate (TPP) is an essential coenzyme that is synthesised by coupling of pyrimidine and thiazole moieties in bacteria. The previously detected thiamin-regulatory element, thi box was extended, resulting in a new, highly conserved RNA secondary structure, the THI element, which is widely distributed in eubacteria and also occurs in some archaea. Analysis of operon structures identified a large number of new candidate thiamin-regulated genes, mostly transporters, in various prokaryotic organisms. RNAcentral also lists the same sequence under 1 other name. Lineage: Bacteria; Bacillati; Bacillota; Bacilli; Caryophanales; Bacillaceae. The record is from RNAcentral.
CAUAUCUACUAGGGGUGCCUUUAAAAUGGCUGAGAUCAAGGUGAGACCUUGGGACCCUUUGAACCUGAUCUGGUUUGCGCCAACGGAGGGAAGUAAUGGGAUGACAUG